This 484-nucleotide ribosomal RNA is filed under the name uncultured bacterium. RNAcentral's name for it is "partial 16S ribosomal RNA". It matches the Rfam family "Bacterial small subunit ribosomal RNA", at positions 30 to 507 of the family's 1533-position model. The record is from RNAcentral.
AUUGAACGCUGGCGGCAGGCCUAACACAUGCAAGUCGAGCAGAUGAAGGGAGCUUGCUCCUGGAUUCAGCGGCGGACGGGUGAGUAAUGCCUAGGGAUCUGCCUGGUCGUGGGGGAUAACGUCCGGAAACGGGCGCUAAUACCGCAUACGUCCUGAGGGAGAAAGUGGGGGAUCUUCGGACCUCACGCUAUCAGAUGAGCCUAGGUCGGAUUAGCUAGUUGGUGGGGUAAAGGCCUACCAAGGCGACGAUCCGUAACUGGUCUGAGAGGAUGAUCAGUCACACUGGAACUGAGACACGGUCCAGACUCCUACGGGAGGCAGCAGUGGGGAAUAUUGGACAAUGGGCGAAAGCCUGAUCCAGCCAUGCCGCGUGUGUGAAGAAGGUCUUCGGAUUGUAAAGCACUUUAAGUUGGGAGGAAGGGAAGUAAGUUAAUACCUUGCUGUUUUGACGUUACCAACAGAAUAAGCACCGGCUAACUUCGUG